This is a non-coding RNA of Podarcis lilfordi (Lilford's wall lizard), 4739 nucleotides long. NCBI's taxonomy places the organism in Eukaryota, Metazoa, Chordata, Lepidosauria, Squamata, Lacertidae. The record is from the annotation of a GenBank genome assembly.
AGUGGGCACUACUCAUGUUCUCUUCAUACUGGUGUGGUGUUGAGAGCCAGUGUGUAAUGGUUAGAGUGCUGGAAUAUGACCUGGGAGAUCAGGUUUCAAAUCCCCACUCAGCCAUGAAGCUCACUGUGUGACCUGCUCAGAAGCAAGUCCUAUUAAAUUCAGUGGAGCUGACUCCUAGGUAAGUGUGGUUAGGGUUGCAGCCUUUAUCUGGAUCCAACCCAUGGUGUGACUGCAGCUGUGCCUUUUGGCUUGUGGUGAGAGGUUGCAGUUGUUUGUUCUAACCUGUUGACAAAAGGGCAGAAUAACUAAAAUAUUCCAUGGCUAACUGAGCAUAACCAGUGCUUUUUCCUGGUGGGACGCAGGGGGACGCACACCCCUAAACAUUUUGUGAAUCUAAGUUUGGCCUCAUUGAGGGGCAGUAUGAGUAGGAAAAUAUGAGUAGGAAAAUGGGAGUACCUCUAAACAUUUUUUUAAGGAAAAAAAGCACUGUACAUAACUAUUGGUUUUGUAGCAUGUUUAUUUAUAACGAGGCUUAUCCUGACAUUGAUUCUUUCUCCUUUAUUUUCAAAAUAGUUUGCCUUAUAUGUAUAACAGUAGCUGGUUGAGUUCUGUAAUAUCCUGCAAGUUAUCAAAAUAGUGCCAAUUGUUCUUGGUAAAGUAAAACUAUGAAGAACACAGACAAUAUUUGAAUGUUGUGGUAGUGGUGAAUGCAGCUAUGAAUAUUUUGUUUAUCACUAGCCUUUUAGACGAACCAGAGCAAUUUACAUUCCACCGGCUAGGGUUGUAGUUUUCAGUCCGGACUCAGGCACAUGAGUUUUCUUAGAAACCUCAUUUUUAAAGCAAUCUUUGUCAUCAGAUCCCAGGAAUAGAUUGAGAGGAAGAGUGCAGUAGCCAAAUUUGCAAGUCUGCUUUGGAACUGGGCAAGACAUUCAGCAGUCAGGGAUCAGCUGCCUUGAACUUGGCAGUCUAGAAAUUUUGCACUGGAUUGCCAAUAAACCAAAAGACUAAAAUCUGUGUUUGGAAGAAAUCAUACAGCUUUGAACGAACAUUUUAUGCAGCAUCCUGCUUUUCUCUCUCUUUUUUUUGAGGGAGGAGCUUAUGUUGUACAAGAUUGGAAAAAGUAGUGUAGCAGAUAAAGCAUUGGUCUUGAUUCCCACCCCCUCUGCACCUUCCUAUACAGUAUCUAAAAUGUUGCCAAGCAGUUUUAGUGUUCUUAUUUGCUUCCUCCCUGCCUGCCUGUUCAUCAGUAGCAUUUUAAAUUCACCUUUCACCAAUAUAACUAUUACUACUGUUAUCGUCAUUAUUUUGCUAUUCUUAUUUAAAGCAGUGACAACAGUCCAGCAAGUUAAGAGCAGGUAAAAUACCGGUAAAACACAAAAUAAACAUUUCUGACAUAAAAGUACAACCAAUUAACAGCAGCAAAAUAGUAUCCCAUAAAUGCUUGGGAAAAUAGAGGUUUUAAGCUGGCGUCGGAAUGUCAGCAAUGUUGUUGCCAGUCAUACUUCUGUGCAGAGGGAAUACUCCAAGUAGGGCACCCUCACCAGGAAGGUUUCUGGUGGUGGGACAAUGAAAAUAUUAUCCCCGAGGUGCUAGAUGCAAGAAUUGAGACAGGCAUCCUGUUUAUUGCACCCCAACUCCUGGGCUAAACCUCUUCACAUCUUUAGGCCAAGGUCUUUAUUCUCUAAAAAAACUUUAGGUCACUGAAGAAAGAGAAUGGGUUGCUCUCCUUGACUUUGCAAUUCUGCAAUGGAUUCGGAUUGUUGCUUUUAACAUAGUGUUUAUUUUGUUGUUUUAUGUAGUCUCCAAGCCAUUUCAGGGCUUAGUACAUGGGGCACAUCUUUCUUUUUAACUGUAUUAAUAAACAGGCUGUGAGGGCUCUUCAUUGAAGUGUAUUCACUAAGGUGAAUUCAAGCAGAGUGAGCCUAUAAUCUGAAUAAACUACAGAAUGAGUCUUUGGAACACUUCUGUGUUUUGUUUCUCUUAAAUCUCUGUCUACAGUGCCCACUACCUUUCCCACAAAUUGCUUUUAAGUUCUUCAUAACAGGAAUUAUAUCACAUUUUGUCCGAGACGUACCUUCUUUGACUUUUUCCUUCUUCCAAUUCAUUCUGAGGAAAGGAGCUGAGUCACUGAGAGGCAAACCUAGCAACUGUUGAAUAAGACACAAGCACAGAUAAUACUAACGUGUAAACAGGAGUAGCGCUUACAGUUUUGCCACUUCACUUUUUUGGAAAAUAAUGAAAUGUGCCUAAACUGAGGUUGUUACAACUUUGAAUAUAAAAUGUGCUUAAGGUCCAACAUUGAGCUACUCACCCCCUACUGUCUGUUGCUUCUGAAAGUAUAUUGAGAUCAUCAUUUUUUUGUGCUCUGUUUUCAUAAACUGUAAACUGUUUUCUGACACGCAGUCAAAUUAUUUGGUAACUUCUUGCUGGCAUUGCUUUUGACACAUUUACAAAUUCAGGGUUACCAGACCUCCAAGUGUCCCUAUUUUCCAGGGGCAAUCCCGGAUUUACAGAAGCUGCCCUGGUUCCUGAUUUGAUUCCAGAAUGUCCCACUUUUCCUUAGGAUGUCUCUAGUUUCAUUGGAUAAAUGUUGGAGUGUAUGGAGUUAUGUGUCCCCUGAGCCAAGGAGAGAAGUAACUAUACAACUUUUAGAAGACAUCUGAAGGCAGUCCUGUGUAGGAAAGGUUUUAAAAAAAUGUUUAAUGUUUUAUUAUGUUUGGAAGUUGCCCAGAGAUGGGUGGGGUAUAAAUAAUAAAAUAAUCGUUGUUGUUGUUGUUGUUGAAUAGGACAUCCCUAUUUUCAUCAGAGAAAUGUUGGAGGGUAUGUAUUACUUUGUAGGCUUGGGAAAUGGGAUUUGAUUUAUGAAAUGGAAUUUGGUCUUCAACCAGUUGGCUUGGACCGCUACCAGGCCGCAACCUGUUGUAAAGUGGCCCACCACAGCAGCACUACCACCAUAAAUGUACAUGGCUAAGGAUGGAUCUGGGUUCUGAAAAGGCUGAAGAUUACAGGUUUCGGUGAACAAAAUAGUUCAGGUAAAAUUUAACUCUAAUGGUACUGAGCUGUGAUUGCAAAUAUUGCAAUCUCAUGAGUAUUUAUUAGAAUGUUAGUCUUAAUUUUUCUUUUAAAAUGCCUGUAAUUAGAUUCUGAGCCUUCCCUUUAACUGUUUUUGUUUGCCUCUGGAUUUUGUAUAAGGUUUUGUCAAACUACAAGGCAUAGUGAGCGUAGUGUAGUGGUUAGAGUAGUGGGAGAUGAGAGUUCAAAUCGCUGGUCAGCCAGGAAGCUUACGGGUUGACCUUGGGUCAAUCGCUAUCGCUCAGCCUAAUUUGCCUCAUAGAAUUGCUGUGGAGAGAAAAAAAAAGGGGGGGGGACAACGUAUGCCACCUGGAGCUCCUUGGAAGAAAGGUGAGGUGUAAAUGUCAGAACAUUUUUUUUUAUGCUCAGAACUAUUUUUUUCUAGACUGCUCUAGAAAAACUAUAUUGAGAAAACUAGGAUAACGAAGAACUCAUAGAAUCAUAGAGUUGUAGAGCUGGAAUGGACCAUGAGGGUCUUCAGUCCAACCCCUUGAAAUGCAGGAAUCUUUUUGGCCAACGUGGGGCUCAGAAUUAAGACCCUCAGAAAUACCCAGAAAAGAAAAGCAUGAUGACUGCUGGCUGGGAUUAGGGACAAGAACAUUAUUGACGUAUUGCUGUACCUUGGCUUUCAGUUUAUUUAUUUUGUCUGCAAAAAUGUCUACACCACCAAUAUUAAGAAAAAAUGUCAUGGUGACAAACAGCAUAAAAUCAACAAUUAAAUUGCAUCCGUAAAACAAAUGAAUACAGGACAAUUCUGUGGAUCAAAUUAAGACAUCAACAUGCCUGGAUCAGCUCUCGGGGCAAGGCGAGAUGAGCAGCUGUGGACCAGGUUCCCUGAAAGGCUGACUUCUCCUCCAAUGCCUGGUAAUGGUGUUAAAAUCAACCAGUGAAAUCUGGUUAGUCUUGUCAGUUGCCACAGCCUAAUGGUUAUGGAGGUGGGAUUUUUCACUGGUUGGCCCUGGUGUUAAAUGCACUCCCUACUGAAAUACAAGAGGUCUCAUCUGUAUUGUCAUUCUGUUGGCUUUGAAGAUGCAUCGGUUUUCACAGGCAUUCCUUUGAUCUCUCUACCUCGGCCCUUCAAAAUUGCUGUGUUUUUUUCAUAGGAUUCUUUUAUUCCGUAUUUUAAUUAUGGGCAUUUUUGUUGAAUGCUUGCCUUUUAUACUUGUAAAACCACAAAGAAGCCUGUUUUGGCAUUUCUAUAAAUUGUUUAUUAUUAGUAAUACUGUAAUGAUAACAGGUGAGUGUCUAAAUGGCAAUACUGUAGGUGCCUGACAGAUGUUCACUAGAUACACGAUCUAAAAGGCACGUGCUGCCACACUAACGGCCCUGGUCUCGGAGGAUUUAAGACAAAUCUCAGGAGCAUACAGCACUACUAGGAGUAUCUCUCUUGAAGUUCAAAGUGACAGGGAUACAUAAGGUAAGGCAUUCCAGCAGUAGAGGAAGUUUUCUGAAAACAUUGUAGUUGUACUUGUGUAUUAAUUGACAAGAGGAGCUGAAUGUGGAACUGUUCUUUCUGAAACUUUGUAAUCAGAUAUUAGUGUCACUUUUCCUAUCUUAAUUGUCAUUCAUCCUAUCUUGAAUUGUGGUCCCAUCAUUUUACAGGUUAAGGGUCCAACCAUAUGUAACACUAAAUCUGUUUUUGCACUUAACAUACAUGUUCAUGUUUC